CCUACGGGAGGCAGCAGUGGGGAAUAUUGCACAAUGGGCGCAAGCCUGAUGCAGCGACGCCGCGUGGGGGAUGACGGCCUUCGGGUUGUAAACUCCUUUCGUUAGGGACGAAGCCACACCUUUUUUGGGUGUGGUGACGGUACCUUUGUUAAGAAGCACCGGCUAACUACGUGCCAGCAGCCGCGGUAAUACGUAGGGUGCGAGCGUUGUCCGGAAUUACUGGGCGUAAAGAGCUCGUAGGUGGUUUGUUGCGUCGUCUGUGAAAUUCCGGGGCUUAACUUCGGGGUGGCAGGCGAUACGGGCAUAACUAGAGUGCUGUAGGGGAGACUGGAAUUCCUGGUGUAGCGGUGGAAUGCGCAGAUAUCAGGAGGAACACCGAUGGCGAAGGCAGGUCUCUGGGCAGUAACUGACGCUGAGGAGCGAAAGCAUGGGGAGCGAACAGGAUUAGAUACCCCAGUAGUC
RNAcentral lists this ribosomal RNA (462 nucleotides) under uncultured Corynebacterium sp. RNAcentral's name for it is "bacterial SSU rRNA". It matches the Rfam family "Bacterial small subunit ribosomal RNA", at positions 338 to 795 of the family's 1533-position model. Lineage: Bacteria; Bacillati; Actinomycetota; Actinomycetes; Mycobacteriales; Corynebacteriaceae. The record is from RNAcentral.